This 72-nucleotide transfer RNA is filed under the name Camelus bactrianus (Bactrian camel). It matches the Rfam family "tRNA". Rfam says of the family: Transfer RNA (tRNA) molecules are approximately 80 nucleotides in length. Their secondary structure includes four short double-helical elements and three loops (D, anti-codon, and T loops). RNAcentral also lists the same sequence under 2 other names. Lineage: Eukaryota; Metazoa; Chordata; Mammalia; Artiodactyla; Camelidae. The record is from Rfam by way of RNAcentral.
GAGGGUAUAGCAUAGCGGUAGAGUGUGUGCUUAGCAUGCAUGAGGUCUUGGGUUCAAUCCUCAGUACCUCCU